GUUGGAGCUUGUUGGUUGUGCAGUGAAGAAGAUGGGGUCAGUACUGUGAGGAGCUGCUCAUGAGGGAUCACCAAGAAGCAGAUGGAAACACGGCAAAUCAUGCCCCAACACCCAUGUGAACAAAACAGACUUGGCUGUGCUCGGUUUUCCCAGGAGCUGACUGAGAGCCCAGAGCCAGGAGAAGGGGUCAGCACAUGUGUCCAGCAGCACAAGGGCAGAGAGAGGCACUGCCAUGUGUUCACUCAAACAGGGAGGAAUCAGGCUUAACCUCACAAGAGUUCCUUCCUCUAUACACUGCCUGAGGAGCCCCAGAAAUUACAAAACCACCUGGCUCCAAGCCUGCUCCAAAAUCCUUUGUAAUUUAACCCAAAAGAUCAUUGCUCUGCCGAGGUCACCUCACUCUCAUUGAGAUUUGCAGAGGUACAGCCAGCUCAGAGAUGUGCAGAAGAGCACCAAGGUCCAUCACAAACAAACCUGUCUUACCAUAAAAGAGAAUUUUUCAAGAGUCCUUCUGAAGGGCUCUCCAAGGAUGAUGAUGUUUCUGGAGGACAGAUGACUGAGGAUGAUGUGACCAUUUCUGCUCUGCUCAGCAGAGUCAUUUGCCUGCUUUCCUUUGUAGGUACUGACCUGUUCUCCUUCCUUUUGUCUAAGAUUCAAUGUGGAACUGUGAAAAAUCAGCCAGGGAAAGAAAGUGGCUGUGGUCUGUUGUUAUUUAAAGCAGGAGUGUUUUGUAAUGACAGGCAAUUAAAGGGAUGGUGCUGACACAUCCCUGGUAAUGUCACUGCACAUAAUGGAGGCAGAGCUCUGGGAGACUUGGGAUGGCUUCUGAUCUGCCAGCAGGCAAUGCAGGCACAAAUUAACUGUGUCUCAUCUGAUCAGGGGCUCUUCCAGGACUUUACAUCUGGCUUAUGGAGAGCUCUUGAACACUUUACAGCUGUCAUCAUGUCAUGAUGUGUGUUUGAUUCUGAUUUCUGCAGCAAGAUGCAGGUUGUAUGUAUGAAAUUAACUACUACCUUUUUCAAAGUCAAAUAACCUUUUAUCCCAUCUAAGAACACUUACAGAAUGUGAUACACUCUCCUGCUUUUCUGUUCCUCUGUGACCAUCAGCAAAAGGAAAAGGCUGUUUAGUUCUUCCUUUGGUACAUUUGUCAUGAUCUUCUCCCCAGAUCUGCUCAAAAAGGUUUCUGCUUUUUACCCUUCCAUCCAUUCAGUUCAUAAUUCCGUUCAUUUGGCAUUAAUGUGCUAAAUAGAAUAAAUAAUUUGCCGAAUAGAAUAAAUUUGCCAUUAGAAUUUU
This is a long non-coding RNA of Zonotrichia leucophrys gambelii, 1293 nucleotides long. RefSeq lists it as uncharacterized. The record is from RefSeq and is a predicted model, not a curated record. The transcript is spliced from 3 exons. Lineage: Eukaryota; Metazoa; Chordata; Aves; Passeriformes; Passerellidae.